UGUGAUUGAGGCAGAGGAGCGGGGGUGAUGCGUGGGGUCAGAGCGGUAAGCGGAGGUACGGGUCGGAAAGCGGGCGCAGGUGGUGUGUUAAGCGAGAUGGGAAAGACCUGUGCUCAACCUAGGAAGAGCAUUUCGAACUGGCGAACUAGAGUCUUGUAGAGGGGGGGAGAAUGCCAGGUGUAGCGGGGAAAUGCGUAGAGAUCUGGAGGAAUACCGGUGGCGAAGGCGGCCCCCUGGACAAAGACUGACGCUCAUGCACGAAAGCGUGGGGAGCAAACAGGAUUAGAUACCCCAGUAGUC
RNAcentral lists this ribosomal RNA (300 nucleotides) under uncultured Desulfotomaculum sp. Its description in RNAcentral is "bacterial SSU rRNA". The stretch from base 57 to 300 matches the Rfam family "Bacterial small subunit ribosomal RNA", at positions 552 to 795 of the family's 1533-position model. Lineage: Bacteria; Bacillati; Bacillota; Clostridia; Eubacteriales; Desulfotomaculaceae. The record is from RNAcentral.